Molecule: long non-coding RNA, 3494 nt
Filed under: Amborella trichopoda
Lineage: Eukaryota; Viridiplantae; Streptophyta; Magnoliopsida; Amborellales; Amborellaceae
Description: long non-coding RNA (ATRI_LNC004210)
Source: RNAcentral
UUUACUUAGUUUCAUCUUUCACCAAAGAGUAGAGUGAAGAAUUUCCACUUUAAAAAACAGUCCCCUUCGUAUUCCUCACUCACAGAUCUACAGUUUACACUGAACCUUGCAACUAAGAAUGAGAGAGAGAAGAUUAUCUUUUCCUUUUCUUUUUAUUUUUUAUUUUUUGAUCGAUGAUGCUCACUCCCUUCUUUUCUGUCCAGAAAGAGUUGUUUACUUAGUUUCACCUUUCACCAAAGAGUAGAGUGAAGAAGUCCUCAUAUAAAUGAAGUCCCAAUAGAAACUUUUCCAAAGUUGACUGCUCAAUCUAUGUCUUGGAUUGUGCUAUACUCUUCCACUUAAAUAUAAGGGGCCCACCCUCAUGAGAAUGAUUGCUCAACAAAGCCCCAUUUAGACUCAUGAGGGCUAUGGCAUGUUUUGGAUCUUGGAAUGAAGUACAGGAGAACUAGAUGCCAAGUUUGUUGUACCAACUUUAGUAAAGCAUGGUAGAAGUUGACAAAGGGUGUACUUCUGGUGGCUAAAGGUCAUCAUUUUACUUCUUAGAUCUGGAACCUAGGUGAUCUAGCCACAUGAGCAAGAAGAUCAUAGGGAAAAAGUGAGUUCAAGGCCUCAAGGGUGAUCCCCUUCAAGAUGAUGAAGGGCGGAAUAGUGACCUCCUUUAAAAGAGUUGUCACCCCUUUUGUUGAGCUAGACUAUUAAAACUAUUAAAAAGGGUGACCAGAAGAAAGAUAAGCAAGAGGGAAGGAGUUCCCCUGAAUAGUUACUGCACUUAUAUAUUGGCAUGGUUACCAAACGACAAUAAAAAUCUUGAAGGUGAAACAAUUUUAAAGUUGAAGGAUGAAGAUGAUGGGUUCAUGUGAUAGCUAAUAGUGCAUUUGGAAAUGCUUAAAAACAUUGUUCUAACACCUUAUUUUUCUAAGGUGGUCAACACCAUGGGUUUAGUAGCCCCCAAACUAAGCCACUGUAUCAUGUAAAAUGCUGUUGAAAGGUGGUAUUUAACAUUAAUUUCAAAAAGGGGUCUAGACCCUUUUUCAUUUUACCUUGCAAAUGGAGCCUAAACCAGUUAGCAAGCCACAUACAAGUUGAUUGCCAAACAAAGCUCUUCAAGAAAGGUGCAUGGUAUGAAGACAUGGUCCAUGUCAGUGAAAAAGCUUCCAGCCUUGUAGAAACUUGAUGAGGAGGUAUGCUAACGGACCAUCAAAUACAUUAAGUUGGAGAAGGGAACCCUCCUAGUGAGUUUGGCAGGUAAUUUGUUACAUAUCCGCUCUCAUGAGGAUAUGUCCCACCAUAUUUAUGUAGAAAUCCAAGACAGCGGUUAAGUAGUAGACCUUCGAAAGGUAUUUUCUAGGGAUCUUUCUCACAUGUGAAGGUCUUUAUAACUUCAUAGUGGUAUUUUUCACUUUACUACUUGCUAGAAGGAAAAGGGGUAGAUGGAAUUUUGAAGGAAAGAAGAGGGGAAUGAAGUCAACAAACCCCUUUUCUCUCUCAUUCCCAUGCACAACAUGGUGAAAGCUCUAGACCUAUGGAUGCCCAUAAGAGAGAUCUUGUUGAACAAGAGCUUGUUUUAGCUUCAAAUUAAUCACAUUUAGAAGGUGUCUUUAUGUGCUUGUAGCUUGAGGCUUUUCAGACAAAAAAGAAGAAAUUGUUAGGAUUUAAUAAGCCUCUUCGAUGCGAAAACAGAAAUCCCAAAAGUUGGAUUCCACCAAGAUCGUGUAUUUAUCCAGCUAGAAACAAAAUAGGCGAGAGUAUGAGCCAUAAUAAGAGAAAUAAAGCAUAAAACACUUACACCAUAAGAACACAAAAAUUUACGUGGUUCACCCCAAAAGGGCUACAUCCACGGGCACGACAAACUAAAAUCCACUAUACUAAUGAAAGUUACAUUACAGAUUUUCGGACAUAGAGUUACCUCUCUAACCCUCGACAAAACCCAAUCGAGCAAACCCUUUUAGACCCGCUCUCUUGAUCUGCACCACCUUCCGACCUCUCAUCUCUAUUCCACACACAGCUAAACCACUGUCCAAGAAGAGAUUCAUCUCUAUUCCAGAGCUAAACCACUGUCUAGGAAGAGACCCAUCUCUAUUCCCCAGUCAAACCAUUGUCCAGGAAGAGACCCUUGAGAGCAAGGGAGACUUUCUCUCACUAAAAGGGGAAAUCACCCAAAAUCUUCGUGGGAACUGCUUCUCUACGAGCAUACCCUUUUAGACCCGCUUUCCCGACCGACACCACCAUCUGAUCUCUCAUCUCUAUUCCACCGCUAAACCACUGUCUAGGAAGAGGCUCAUCACUAUACCACAGCUAAACCAUUGUCCAGGAAGAGACCCAUCUCUAUUCCACUACUAAACCACUGUCCAGGAAGAGACCCUUGAGGGCAAGGGAGACUUUCUCUCACUAAAUGGAGAAACCACCCAAAAUCUUCAUGGAAACUGCUUCUCUACAAGAAACCAGCCUCUCACUCUGCAGGAAGUACAUCGUGGUGUUUCUCUUCAUAGCUCUCUUCUCUCUAAUGGGAGGCCUUGCCUCAUGCACAGGGAGCUCCUACCUCUCUCUCUCUAGAGGAAACCACCUUUCCCAUAUGGUGACCCAAAUAGGGCACACCUAGUCUUUCAUCUUUCAACCCAUAUAUAUAAGCUUAGGACUCCACGCUAAGUAGGAAACUUCCUGUUACAUAUAUCUCAAGAACCAAAAGAUAUAUCUCAGGGUCCUAAUCGUUUUGGAUUUCUAUUUCCUUUAGGACACUUGUCAAUAUCAAUCUCAAUCCCACAUAAUCUGGGAUUUCCUUAUGUUGGUGAUUUUUGGAUAUCACCAUAUCCAACAAAAAUCAGAUGCUUAGGUUUUACUUGUGAAACCGGUAGAAGUAUUCUCUCACCCAAAUCGGUUUGAGAAGGCUUUAUAAACGUAUUAGUGCACCAUGGAUUGUUAAGACUGCAAAUGGUUGGGGUUGCGAUCCACCCCCGCCCAGUUGUGACCCAAUAGGGUCCAGGUAGUACCCCAACCCAACCUAGAUUAGCGGAUCUAGGUCAAGAUAUAAAAUAAAUAUAUAAAUAUAUUAUGUAUAUUUUAUAAAAUAUAGUAAUACAUAUUAUGUAUAAUUCUACAUAAUAUGUUAUAUAUGAGUAUAUACCAGGUCAGAUCGGUCGAGUGAACCCUAACCUGGACCAGAACCAUCCCAGUUAGAUCUGGCUGGACCGCAAUCUGAUCAGGUCCAAAUCAAGUGGUGCGGACGUGACCAUGGUGGGUCCACAACCGUAGCAAGGUCUGAUCGACUCACCAGAUCAGUAGGUUGACCCUACCUAAUUACCGCCCAUGAUUAACAAAAUUGGGUUUGGAAUUUGAUUUUCAUCUUAGAAAGGUUUUGGAAGAAAAAAGUCGUGGUCUUAUGCUUGUUUUAUUUAUUGUCUCCUUCCAGUGCAUCAAAUCUCUUGUGCUAUUUUGAUUUAUAUUGGGUUUUCCACGUGCAUUUGAUUCGCAAAUAGAAGAGAGAGGCUUUUCCCAAC